Molecule: non-coding RNA, 45 nt
Organism: Shinella sp. DD12
Lineage: Bacteria; Pseudomonadati; Pseudomonadota; Alphaproteobacteria; Hyphomicrobiales; Rhizobiaceae
Source: Rfam
CGGCUGGGACGACCCGGCCGCGACGACACGAUCGGGGACGGCCCC